AGAGUUUGAUCCUGGCUCAGGACGAACGCUGGCGGCGUGCCUAAUACAUGCAAGUCGAGCAGACUGAUGGGAGCUUGCUCCCAUCAGUCAGCGGCGGACGGGUGAGUAACACGUGGGUAACCUGCCUGUAAGACUGGGAUAACUCCGGGAAACCGGGGCUAAUACCGGAUAACUCAUUUCCUCGCAUGAGGAAAUGUUGAAAGGUGGCUUUUAGCUAUCACUUACAGAUGGACCCGCGGCGCAUUAGCUAGUUGGUGAGGUAAUGGCUCACCACGGCGACGAUGCGUAGCCGACCUGAGAGGGUGAUCGGCCACACUGGGACUGAGACACGGCCCAGACUCCUACGGGAGGCAGCAGUAGGGAAUCUUCCGCAAUGGACGAAAGUCUGACGGAGCAACGCCGCGUGAGUGAUGAAGGUUUUCGGAUCGUAAAGCUCUGUUGUUAGGGAAGAACAAGUACUGUUCGAAUAGGGCGGUACCUUGACGGUACCUAACCAGAAAGCCACGGCUAACUACGUGCCAGCAGCCGCGGUAAUACGUAGGUGGCAAGCGUUGUCCGGAAUUAUUGGGCGUAAAGCGUGCGCAGGUGGUUUCUUAAGUCUGAUGUGAAAGCCCACGGGCUCAACCCGUGGGAGGGUCAUUGGAAACAGUGGGGGG
This 656-nucleotide ribosomal RNA is filed under the name uncultured marine bacterium. Its description in RNAcentral is "bacterial SSU rRNA". It matches the Rfam family "Bacterial small subunit ribosomal RNA", at positions 8 to 640 of the family's 1533-position model. The record is from RNAcentral.